UGGUCAUACAAGGAAGAGGCCAAACUUCCCAUGAAAGGUGUGUCCUAUUGGAUCUGUAAUUUCCAGAAUGAGUACUUCCUCAAAAUUAUAAUUUAUCAUUGUGUGGAUUGAAUUAUACUGUGUGGUUUACUCUAAAGUAUUCAGCAACAAUGUUUCUAUUGAUUAUUAUAGUCACAAACUUGGGACUUUGAUAGCUGAUGAUGGUAAGCA
Molecule: non-coding RNA, 210 nt
Organism: Salvelinus sp. IW2-2015
Lineage: Eukaryota; Metazoa; Chordata; Actinopteri; Salmoniformes; Salmonidae
Source: RefSeq, a predicted model, not a curated record